This 468-nucleotide ribosomal RNA is filed under the name uncultured bacterium. RNAcentral describes it as "partial 16S ribosomal RNA". It matches the Rfam family "Bacterial small subunit ribosomal RNA", at positions 29 to 507 of the family's 1533-position model. The record is from RNAcentral.
ACGAACGCUGGCGGCGUGCUUAACACAUGCAAGUCGAACGGAAAGGCCCUGCUUGCAGGGUGCUCGAGUGGCGAACGGGUGAGUAACACGUGGGUGAUCUGCCCCUUACUUUGGGAUAAGCCUGGGAAACUGGGUCUAAUACUGGAUAGGACCAUGUUGUAGGUGGUGUGGUGGAAAGAUUAGUUUCGGUAAGGGAUGAGCUCGCGGCCUAUCAGCUUGUUGGUGGGGUAAUGGCCUACCAAGGCGUCGACGGGUAGCCGGCCUGAGAGGGUGGACGGCCACAUUGGGACUGAGAUACGGCCCAGACUCCUACGGGAGGCAGCAGUGGGGAAUAUUGCACAAUGGGCGCAAGCCUGAUGCAGCGACGCCGCGUGGGGGAUGACGGCCUUCGGGUUGUAAACUCCUUGCAGCCAUGACGAAGCCCUUGUGGUGACGGUAGUGGUAGAAGAAGCACCGGCUAACUACGUG